This is a long non-coding RNA of Sinocyclocheilus rhinocerous, 217 nucleotides long. RefSeq lists it as uncharacterized. The record is from RefSeq and is a predicted model, not a curated record. NCBI's taxonomy places the organism in Eukaryota, Metazoa, Chordata, Actinopteri, Cypriniformes, Cyprinidae. The transcript has 3 exons.
GAACUGCUGCUGUUGCAAUAGAAGACAAAUUGAAAUCAGAUCAGAAAGACGAGCAAAGAAGAGAGUGAAUAUUGGAUGGUGACGACAUAAAAACAGACGCUCAUGUCAAGCUUGAUGAGGAUUUAGUCCAAGCUUUGAAAGACUCUGUGAUGAAGAAAUUUUCAAAUACCACAGUGUCUGAAUUGCAAGCCCUCAGAUGCAGGAAAUGUCGUACUCA